Molecule: long non-coding RNA, 358 nt
Organism: Oncorhynchus tshawytscha (Chinook salmon)
Lineage: Eukaryota; Metazoa; Chordata; Actinopteri; Salmoniformes; Salmonidae
Source: Ensembl
GUCUGUAACAGUUUGGGUCUAGAGGCAGGGCAGGGCAGGAUGGAUAUAGGUCUGUAACAGUUUGGGUCUAGAGGCAGGGCAGGAUGGAUAUAGGUCUGUAACAGUUUGGGUCUAGAGGCAGGGCAGGAUGGAUAUAGGUCUGUAACAGUUUGGGUCUAGAGGCAGGGCAGGAUGGAUAUAGGUCUGUAACAGUUUGGGUCUAGAGGCAGGGCAGGAUGGAUAUAGGUCUGUAACAGUUUGGGUCUAGAGGCAGGGCAGGGCAGGAUGGAUAUAGGUCUGUAACAGUUUGGGUCUAGAGGCAGGGCAGGAUAGAUAUAGGUCUGUAACAGUUUGGGUCUAGAGGCAGGGCAGGGCAGGA